UUUUAGUCUCAGUGUGUCUAUCAUCUUCAUCUUCACUUUCUGUUUCACCAUGUUUAUCUUCAUAUGAAAGUUUCCAGAGUCAGAGACCGAUGGAUAUGAAUUCAUUAAAUCCAUUUGGGGUUGUUAAUUUUAGUCUUGGUGAUUUUGAUUUUUUGAGUUUCUUCGAUUAAAUUGUUUGGGUUCUUCCUUUUACUUCAGUGAUUUGAUUUAGUCACAGACAAAUUUGAAUAGUUUUAGGGUUUAAGAGGAGACCGAAAUUUGGUUCCAUCAGUUGCCUCCUCGUAUUAUAUGUCUUUGGGGUAACAAAACUAAAUCUGAAUUUAUUUGAUUUAUGUUGCUCUCAACCAUCCCUUUUCUCUAAGAGUGUUUGGCAUUAAAGGUAUGUUUCUUUGUAUCAUGCAUUCAGAAGGUAACUAGUGCAGGUGGUGGACAUGGAUGGUUUUCUGACAACUUCAAUGGAGCAAAUCUUGAUUGAUUUUAUUGGAUUCUGGCCUGACUUAGCGUGGUGAUGCUGCAUCUCCUCAUGUGUUUGGGUCUAAGCGCAAGCGCAGAUGGUGUUCAUCCUACUGCUGCCAGUGGGGGUUAUCAUGCUUUGCAGGAAUGAGUAUGUGGGAAUGUGAAUGAUUGAUGUUGUGACUGUAUGGUUGGUCAAAUCGAUGAAACCAUUGUCGAGUUGAGUGUACUAUAUUAUGUUUGAAUUGUUAAAUUAUACACCCCAAUUUUUAAUCUCCUAUUAUGCAUAUGAUUGCCAAUAUUUGGUCUACAUUUUAUUCAUUCCCAUUCGGGUGCGUUUUCUGUUGGCAUUUGAAUUUUGUUAUGUUUGUGUUAACAGACCCAAAUAAUGCUUCCAAUAA
Papaver somniferum (opium poppy) is the source of this 854-nucleotide long non-coding RNA. RefSeq lists it as uncharacterized. The record is from RefSeq and is a predicted model, not a curated record. The transcript is spliced from 2 exons. NCBI's taxonomy places the organism in Eukaryota, Viridiplantae, Streptophyta, Magnoliopsida, Ranunculales, Papaveraceae.